This 459-nucleotide ribosomal RNA is filed under the name uncultured bacterium. RNAcentral's name for it is "partial 16S ribosomal RNA". It matches the Rfam family "Bacterial small subunit ribosomal RNA", at positions 338 to 795 of the family's 1533-position model. The record is from RNAcentral.
CCUACGGGUGGCAGCAGUGAGGAAUAUUGGUCAAUGGGCGGAAGCCUGAACCAGCAAAGUAGCGUGCGGGCUGAAGGCCCUACGGGUCGUAAACCGCUUUUGCACGGGGAUAACACCCUCCAAUUGAGGGGGUCUGCAGGGACCGUGCGAUUAAGGGCCGUCUAAUUCCGCGCCAGGAGCCGCGGUAAUAUGGAAGUCCCGGACGUUAUCCGGUUUGAUUGGGCUGAAAGGGAACGUAGGCUGGCGUUGAAGUCAGCUGUAAAAUCGCGCGGCUCAACCGCGCCCCGCAGUGGAAACUAGACGACUUGAGUUCACAACAGGCAGGCGGAAUUCGUGGUGUAGCGGUGAAAUGCAUAGAUAUCACGAGGAACCCCGAUGGCGAAGGCAGCCUGCUGGGUUUCGACUGACGCUGAGGCUCGAAGGUGCGGGUAUCAAACAGGAUUAGAUACCCUUGUAGUC